Molecule: long non-coding RNA, 1577 nt
Organism: Macrobrachium nipponense
Lineage: Eukaryota; Metazoa; Arthropoda; Malacostraca; Decapoda; Palaemonidae
Exons: 5
Source: RefSeq, a predicted model, not a curated record
UCUUAAAUGGCUGUUGGUAUAAUUUUUUAGUGUUUUUCAUGUGUAAAAAACGUUAUCUUACCGGAGUUGAUUGUCCUUUUAAAGCUUUUUUAGAAUUAAACGUUCCUAUACGUUAAAUAAAGUAGAUUCAACACCCGCCCAAAUGAUGUCUAAUGUCGCUGGAAUCUCACAAUCCCGGGACGUCGCUUGCAAACGGAAUCGUCAUCACCCGUGCCUGAUCCACAAAUUCCAGUUCAUUAAAAGCCAAAAGCAACCGUCCCAGCCAGAAAGAAAAGAAUAAUCGUGUACCCGGAAGAUUCGGAUGAUUCCGAUUUUCAAUAGGAAGCUUUUUAUUUCUGGUGAGACUCUCGGACCGGCCACGGAUUUGACGACUCGCAAAAUCUCCAAUGUUUGCAGUACGUCAGCUGAAUUAAACAGUAAGGCCAUAAAAACUGGAGCAAACUUGGUCUAGUUGAAAACCGAAAUCACUCGAGGAUUUAGGACUCCUAAUAACUACGGAGUUGUUAGUAUGGAUGCACAAGAGAUAUUCGAGAAACAACGUUUUACAGAAAAACUGAUGCUAAGGCUGUACAGUUUUGUUUCAGGAUGGUUGAAAUAAGGUUUGCUGCUAACAGUACACAACAGAUUUAUUGAUGUAUGCAAUGUGGAUUAUUAACUGGUAAUGGAUUAACGAAUUUGACUCCGUAAAAAAAUUUAACUGAUCAAGGUUUCAAGGCAAUCCGGUCAUGGAGAUCAAGCUACGAAAAUUGUUAGCGACGGGUUUCGAGGCGACUAUCCUAUCUACAUCGUAUAUUGCCACCUGGCUAUUUAAACAGAUAUGGAGCAGCUAUUCAGAAGUUUUGAAAUUAACAGGAGAGGAAAAUGGAGAAUGAAAGUACUUGAAGAUGCAGAGUUAUGUUGCAAGCAAGAUUUAGUCAUGAGGUUAAAGGCUGCUGGAUGAAGAAAACUACAUAUUGGUGUUGAAAGCUUUUGUCAUGCUGUACUUCACAUGUCAAGAGUUUAAAGAUUUUGAACGCAAGGUGCGUUGCGAAGACGAUUAAGUGAUAAAGGAUAAAUAGCUAAAUGAUGAUGUAAGUGCUUUGUGAUGCUGGUCAACUUCUUUAGGGAUGGAGCCGUUAGUGGACGAUUGCACAUCGUGACAAAGUACUUAAAGAUGCUGGAAGCAAUUUGUGGACACCACUGUGUGGAAGCCAUUUGAAUAAGGUUCCAAAUCGUGUGGCAGCCAUUUGUAGACUAUUUUACAUAAUGAUAAAAGUCCUUUAGAUGCUGGAAGUAAUUUGUGGGCUGCUUAACAUUUUGACCUGUUGCUGGAAUCCUACAUCGCGACCAGUAUUGGAAGCCAUUUGUGGAAAACUUCACAUCCAUGACGUGUAUUUAUAUAAGCUAGAAACCCUUUGUGAAUGAUUAAACAAUGUAAAAAGUAUUGCUGCUAGAAGCUGUUUUAGUUGCAUUAACUUUGAUGGCCUGUUGAGAUUGAACUGAAGUUAAUUUCAAAUUUCAUCAGUAUAAGGAAUAUGUAAAAUUUUAUGUUAUUGCCAAAUUAAGCUAUUGUGAAUAUGUACAGUAAAUUGAAAUAA